Molecule: unclassified non-coding RNA, 329 nt
Filed under: soil metagenome
Description: partial contains 5.8S ribosomal RNA, internal transcribed spacer 2, and large subunit ribosomal RNA
Rfam family: 5.8S ribosomal RNA (bases 1-120)
Source: RNAcentral
GAUGAAGAACGCAGCGAAAUGCGAUAAGUAAUGUGAAUUGCAGAAUUCAGUGAAUCAUCGAAUCUUUGAACGCACCUUGCGCUCCUUGGUAUUCCGAGGAGCAUGCCUGUUCGAGCGUCAUUAUAACCACUCAAGCUCUCGCUUGGUAUUGGAGUUCGCGAUCUCGCGGCUCCUAAAAUCAGUGGCGGUGCCUGUCGGCUCUACGCGUAGUAAUACUCCUCGCGAUUGAGUCCGGUAGGUUUACUUGCCAGCAACCCCCAAUUUUUACAGGUUGACCUCGGAUCAGGUAGGGAUACCCGCUGAACUUAAGCAUAUCAAUAAGCGGAGGA